UACGGAGGAUCCAAGCGUUAUCCGGAUUUAUUGGGUUUAAAGGGUGCGCAGGCGGCCAAGUGUGUCAGGUGUGAAAUCCCGAGGCUUAACCUCGGAACUGCGCCUGAAACUACUUGGCUAGAGUACUGGAGAGGGUAACGGAAUUCACGGUGUAGCAGUGAAAUGCGUAGAUAUCGUGAGGAACACCAGAGGCGAAGGCGGUUACCUGGACAGUUACUGACGCUCAGGCACGAAAGCGUGGGGAGCAAAAGGG
This 253-nucleotide ribosomal RNA is filed under the name uncultured prokaryote. RNAcentral's name for it is "partial 16S ribosomal RNA". It matches the Rfam family "Bacterial small subunit ribosomal RNA", at positions 524 to 776 of the family's 1533-position model. The record is from RNAcentral.